GAGAGCUUGCUCUCUGAUUCAGCGGCGGACGGGUGAGUAAUGCCUAGGAAUCUGCCUGGUAGUGGGGGACAACGUUUCGAAAGGAACGCUAAUACCGCAUACGUCCUACGGGAGAAAGCAGGGGACCUUCGGGCCUUGCGCUAUCAGAUGAGCCUAGGUCGGAUUAGCUAGUUGGUGAGGUAAAGGCUCACCAAGGCGACGAUCCGUAACUGGUCUGAGAGGAUGAUCAGUCACACUGGAACUGAGACACGGUCCAGACUCCUACGGGAGGCAGCAGUGGGGAAUAUUGGACAAUGGGCGAAAGCCUGAUCCAGCCAUGCCGCGUGUGUGAAGAAGGUCUUCGGAUUGUAAAGCACUUUAAGUUGGGAGGAAGGGCAGUAAGUUAAUACCUUGCUGUUUUGACGUUACCGACAGAAUAAGCACCGGCUAACUUCGUGCCAGCAGCCGCGGUAAUACGAAGGGUGCAAGCGUUAAUCGGAAUUACUGGGCGUAAAGCGCGCGUAGGUGGUUCGUUAAGUUGGAUGUGAAAGCCCCGGGCUCAACCUGGGAACUGCAUCCCAAACUGGCGAGCUAGAGUAUGG
This 581-nucleotide ribosomal RNA is filed under the name Pseudomonas sp. LOT1c. RNAcentral's name for it is "bacterial SSU rRNA". It matches the Rfam family "Bacterial small subunit ribosomal RNA", at positions 74 to 651 of the family's 1533-position model. Lineage: Bacteria; Pseudomonadati; Pseudomonadota; Gammaproteobacteria; Pseudomonadales; Pseudomonadaceae. The record is from RNAcentral.